GGCCGUGUGGCUCAAUGGCAGAGCGUCUGACUACGAUUACCAUAGGGUACAAUCCCUGGAAUGCUAAAUCAGAAGGUCGCAGGUUCGACCCCUGUCUCGGUCA
Molecule: non-coding RNA, 103 nt
Organism: Claviceps sp. LM84 group G4
Lineage: Eukaryota; Fungi; Ascomycota; Sordariomycetes; Hypocreales; Clavicipitaceae
Source: the annotation of a GenBank genome assembly